RNAcentral lists this ribosomal RNA (552 nucleotides) under Neuracanthus africanus. RNAcentral describes it as "eukaryotic LSU rRNA". The stretch from base 142 to 297 matches the Rfam family "5.8S ribosomal RNA". Lineage: Eukaryota; Viridiplantae; Streptophyta; Magnoliopsida; Lamiales; Acanthaceae. The record is from RNAcentral.
GUGCGCUCGCGUGCGCCGUGCGGGCUAACGAACCUCGGCGCGGAAUGCGCCAAGGAAAACCAAAACGGAGCGCUCGCCCUCGCCCGUGCCCCGUUCGCGGUGCGCGCGGGAGGGGAAGGUGCGCCUCUUGAAUGUCAAAACGACUCUCGGCAACGGAUAUCUCGGCUCUCGCAUCGAUGAAGAACGUAGCGAAAUGCGAUACUUGGUGUGAAUUGCAGAAUCCCGUGAACCAUCGAGUCUUUGAACGCAAGUUGCGCCCGAAGCCUUCGGGCCGAGGGCACGCCUGCCUGGGCGUCACGCAUCGCGUCGCCCCCCCCAACCCGUCUCCCCAGRAGCGGGCGUGGCGGGGCGGACAUUGGCCUCCCGUGUGCCUCGGCGCGCGGUUGGCCCAAAAGCGAUCCCCCGGCGACGCACGUCGCGACCAGUGGUGGUUGAAUCAUCAACUCGCGUGCUGUCAGUCGUGCUCCACGGCGUCGUCGGUCGGGCAUCAAUAUCGACCCUAGCUGCGCGAAGCGCUUCCGACCGCGACCCCAGGUCAGGCGGGAUUACCCG